GCUACACUGGAAGUAGCUGAGCCAUGAGAAAGAAGCUGAUCAUUUUGAAGACAUUUUUAAGCAUUCCGUUGCUACUAGUACUGCCCUAAGCUCUGGAAAUGACAGGCGAGACCUCUGUUCUCGUGAAGCUUAAUUCUAAUGGGAAGACAGCAGACAUUCACCAAGAGUUAGAAAUGCUGUGAAGAAACACAUCUAGAGACUUCCAGUGAACUCUUCCUCUUAACUCUGUGUGCCCUCCAAGUUGUCAGUACCCUCAAACCAAAAACCCCCAGGAAUACGCUGUAGUUAAACAAGCAACAUCAGAGGAAUAUGAAACUAAGGCUGAAACAAACUUAAGAGUACCUGGACAUGGUGGUGCCAUGUUCCAAGAGUUCCAGCUGCGUAGAAAACAGGCAGGAAGACUGUAUGAGCCCAGGAGCCCAAGGCCAGCCAAGGCACCGCAGCAAGAUCCUAUCCCGAAGAAUUGACCCAAGGGCUGCAGAGACAGCUAAGCAGUUAAUAACUCUGGCUGUUCUUCCAGAGGACCAAGUUCGAUCCCCAGCACCCACAUGGCCAAUUAUAAUUGCAAUUCAAAUUCCAGGAAAUCCAGUGCCCUCUUCUGGUGUACAGGCAUACAUGCAGCCAAAUUACCUAUACACAUGAAAUUAAAUGCAAAAAAAAAGACAAAAAUAAUGAUUUUGCUGGUAGGUUGCUAUUUGGGGGUUUUGUUUUUGGCUUUUUUGUUUGUUUGUUUGUUUUUGUUUUUUGUUUUUUGUUUUUUUUUCUUUUUUUCGGAGCUGGGGACCGAAUUGUUUUUGUUUUUAAGAUGUGGUAGAAACGGGGCUGGGGAUUUAGCUCAGUGGUAGAGCGCUUACCUAGGAAGCGCAAGGCCCUGGGUUCGGUCCCCAGCUCCGAAAAAAAAGAACAAAAAAAAAAAAAAAAAGAUGUGGUAGAAACUUUUAAUUUGGAAAGGGAAUGGUUACACGUAAAGGAAAGUAGAUUCUGUACUAACAGAUGUGCACUGCAAAGCUGGUCUAAGAGAACGAAGGGAGUUCCCUGGAUUGUCCACCUGAUGCCCAAUCAUAGUCACGGUUAAGCACACUGCUGAAGAAUCUAUAUGUCCAACGAGCUGCCCUCUCAAGAAUUCUUAUCUAGGGCAUGACAAACAGUGAGCAUUUCUGCCAGUCUCCACAACUAUGUCCACUGGAGAAGUUCAGCCAACACAGUUCAUUAAAAGCUUCAGGAUAACUCAGGCAGAGACCAGCACAGGCCGGAAGUCGACCUUUCUCUGAGCCCGGAAGUCUACCUUGCUCUGAGGGUUGAUCUGAAUUCUCAAAAGGAUGGCCAGGAUGAAGCUGCCCACACAGAGGAUGAAGCCAAGGAAGAUAGAGUUGAAGGGAAAAGGGCCCACGGGGAGGUAGUAGCUGGACCACAGUUCCCUGAUCAGCGGGAGAUACAGGAGACAGGAGUGCAGGAACCUCAGCCCUUUCGGAGGGAAGCUCAAGUACUCCUCCGGAAAUCACCAGACAAUGGACGCCUGCAUGACGAAUGCAGGACAGUUCCCACCGUGUAAUUUUUGACAUAAUUUAGAAUUCUAAGAGGUCUCAUAAUGUGGCUGAGACAAGUUACACUCGUGUGUGAACAGGUUUUCUCACUACUAACAAAAAAUAAAAAUAAUGCAAAUUCUAUCAUCAUCAGCAAGCGAUAUUCAUGUGCAGAAAUAUUACUCAAAUGAUUUUAACGAAUCCUGUAUUUAAAUGAUGUAAUGCUAAUAAAAUCUGUACAAGAUAAGAAUUAUAGCAACACUCAGGAGGGAAGUCUAACAUAGUAAUAAAAGACUUCCAAACAAAAGAAAUAUGUAUUAGGUUUGUCUCAAUGCGCUUGAUGUAAGAAAAAAAAUAGGAUGACUUUCUUUCCAGAAAAAUAUGUAGUUGGUGCACACCAUUAAUCACAGCACUUAGGAGGCAGAGACAGGCAAGUACCAGGCCAUCCUGGUCUAUCAAACAAGUUCCAGGACAGUCAGAGCUGUCAUUCAUAGAUAGAUAGAUAGAUAGAUAGAUAGAUAGAUAGAUAGAUAGAUAGAUAGACAGACAGACAGAUAGACAGAUAGAUUUUGAUAGAUGAGAAGAUAAGUGGGUAUUAUCGUUUAGUUGUAAAAAACAGAACUGAGAAAAAUUCAAGAAACUUUGGUAAGAGCACACAGCCAUGGGUGGGAGCAAAAGAAACGAAAACCAGAAAACACCAGAGGUCUCAUAAAAAGAAAAGGGCCCCGGAAUCUGCACAGCACGUGGCCCUGAGGGAAUUUGUCUUCCCAGCACGUAACCCAAAUGCAGUGUCCAGGAGCCAUCUUUAAGUCCAAGUCACAGUAUUUCCCUGUCUCUUGGAACUGUAACCAAAGUCAUAGCUGGCACGCCAAAUGUUGGUUAUAAAAGAGUGGGUAGACCGAGUCAAAAUGCUCAGAGUUCCAUGCAGCGAGAAGCUGUUUUGAAAUACAAAGGGGAUUAUUGAGAAGGCAUAAGAGGAGAACAGGCAGGUGCAAGGCUGCAAGAGGUGUUUGUAUGGGAGUUUCAGAAGAGGAGGCAGGACCCAGGGUCCCCCUACUUCCCCUUGAGCUUAGCCCCACUGGGUCCCCCUGGCCCCACAUCAUCCAUCUAGGAAGGCACUAGAGACCUAGAUCUAAGUCAGAAACUCCAGUACCAAUGGCGCCUUAGGAGUGUGCAGACAAAAUCAUCCCCCAGUAAAUCGAUGCCUUAAAACCUGUGUUCCAGCACAGCCCAUCCUGGAGCAAGGCGGCCAAGGGCGAAACUGGCUGUGCCCACAAACCACUCCCUUUGGUUGCUAGCCUAGAGACACAGUGAGGGAGGCAAAAGUAAACAGUGUGUGCUCUGUGACCUCUCCAAAGGAAACUUGCCAGGUCACAGGAACAAUAAUGUUCAGUCAGCUGUUAACUUUCA
This is a long non-coding RNA of Rattus norvegicus (Norway rat), 2933 nucleotides long. RefSeq lists it as uncharacterized. The record is from RefSeq and is a predicted model, not a curated record. Lineage: Eukaryota; Metazoa; Chordata; Mammalia; Rodentia; Muridae.